AACGAACGCUGGCGGCAUGCCUAACACAUGCAAGUCGAACGAGACCUUCGGGUCUAGUGGCGCACGGGUGCGUAACGCGUGGGAACCUGCCCUUAGGUUCGGAAUAACUCCCCGAAAGGGGUGCUAAUACCGGAUAAUGUCUUCGGACCAAAGAUUUAUCGCCUUUGGAUGGGCCCGCGUUGGAUUAGCUAGUUGGUAGGGUAAAAGCCUACCAAGGCGACGAUCCAUAGCUGGUCUGAGAGGAUGAUCAGCCACACUGGGACUGAGACACGGCCCAGACUCCUACGCGAGGCAGCAGUGGGGAAUAUUGGACAAUGGGCGAAAGCCUGAUCCAGCAAUGCCGCGUGAGUGAUGAAGGCCUUAGGGUUGUAAAGCUCUUUUAACCGGGAUGAUAAUGACAGUACCGGGAGAAUAAGCUCCGGCUAACUCCGUG
Molecule: ribosomal RNA, 433 nt
Filed under: uncultured bacterium
Lineage: Bacteria
Description: partial 16S ribosomal RNA
Rfam family: Bacterial small subunit ribosomal RNA
Source: RNAcentral